Molecule: non-coding RNA, 73 nt
Organism: Myotis davidii
Lineage: Eukaryota; Metazoa; Chordata; Mammalia; Chiroptera; Vespertilionidae
Source: Rfam
GCCUGUGUGGCUCAGUGGAUAGAGCAUCAGCCUGGGGACUGCAGGGUCCCAGGUUCGAUUCUGGACAAGGGCA